UACGUAGGAUGCAAGCGUUGUUCGGAAUUACUGGGCGUAAAGAGUACGUAGGCGGUUUGAAAAGUCUGAUAUUAAAGACUGGGGCUUAACUCCAGGAGUGUAUCGGAAACUUUCAGACUAGAGGACAAUAGAGGAAGUCGGAAUUCUCAGUGUAGCGGUGAAAUGCGUAGAUAUUGGGAAGAGCACCAGUGGCGAAAGCGGACUUCUGGGUUGUUACUGACGCUGAGGUACGAAAGCGUGGGGAGCAAACGGG
RNAcentral lists this ribosomal RNA (253 nucleotides) under uncultured bacterium. Its description in RNAcentral is "partial 16S ribosomal RNA". It matches the Rfam family "Bacterial small subunit ribosomal RNA", at positions 524 to 776 of the family's 1533-position model. The record is from RNAcentral.